Diorhabda sublineata is the source of this 998-nucleotide long non-coding RNA. RefSeq lists it as uncharacterized. The record is from RefSeq and is a predicted model, not a curated record. The transcript is spliced from 2 exons. Lineage: Eukaryota; Metazoa; Arthropoda; Insecta; Coleoptera; Chrysomelidae.
AGAAAACGUAAAUUUUAUUGUCGGGAGUUUUUUAUGUUGAGAUUUUAUAAAUUAUAGAGUUGGCAACAGUGCAGUUUGUCAAUGAUCCAUUCAUUGGCACUUUUGGCGCGACAUUAUGUAUUAAUUGUAAGGACAUUUAUAAAGUUUCCAUUGGGAAAAAGUGGAUUAAUAUAGAAAUGUAAGAUAAGGAAACAGAAGACUCUUGCCGGCCGACAGUCUUAAUCAGCAGAUGAGAUAUUAUAAAAUAACAAAACACAUGUUUUUCACGACUUUUUGUAUAGUAAUAUCUUUAUUGUAACCUUCGUUGUAGUAAAAUCUAUUUAAGUACUAUUCAAAAUCCAAAAAGUUUGUAAUAAGUGUAUUUUCGAAAAUAAAAUAUUUUGUAAAAAGUGACAAGUGUUGCGAACAACGACAUUUCUAUAUUUGUGUUGUGCUUAGGCUGUCUACGUUAAGUUCGUUGUUUGAGUAUUAUCUAAAAUAUUUUGGCAUUUCAGGUGAAAUCUGAAUGUUUAAAAAUGUAUGAUUAAGUAUAAAUUGUGUAAUCAGUUUACAAAAGAGGUAGUUUUUGGCCGCAGCGCUGAUCAGAAUACGUAAUUGAAUUUUCUGUUGUAAAAGAGUCUUUUAUAAACUUAAAAAUACAAACAAUAUCCUUGGGUGCUUCGAGGGUAGGUUUACCAUUUUUAAAAUAUUUACAUAACACGUGAAAUUAACGGAUUUUAGAGCUCAGAACCCCAAAUAAAGUACUCAGACAAUUUUAGUGUCCAGCCUUACGAUUUUUAAGGUACCUAACUCUUUUAACUCAAUAAUAAUUAACUUCGUUGAAAUUUUUUUAGAAAACUUUGCACAGAGUUCUUCAUAGAUUUUGGUUUAUAUUGUGUAAGUAGCAAAAAAUAUAUAAAUUUUUAAGUUGAUGUAUUCCAUUGGAAAUAAAUCACGUCCAUGGAGCAUUACGUUGUUAACUAUGUGUUGAUUCAAAGUGAAUAUAAUUAAUAGAUUCA